GCGCUCUUAGUUCAGUGCGGUAGAACGCAGGUCUCCAAAACCUGAUGCCGUAGGUUCAAAUCCUACAGAGCGCGA
This 75-nucleotide transfer RNA is filed under the name Taxus cuspidata (Japanese yew). RNAcentral describes it as "tRNA-Trp". It matches the Rfam family "tRNA". From Rfam's summary of the family: Transfer RNA (tRNA) molecules are approximately 80 nucleotides in length. Their secondary structure includes four short double-helical elements and three loops (D, anti-codon, and T loops). Further hydrogen bonds mediate the characteristic L-shaped molecular structure. tRNAs have two regions of fundamental functional importance: the anti-codon, which is responsible for specific mRNA codon recognition, and the 3' end, to which the tRNAs corresponding amino acid is attached (by aminoacyl-tRNA synthetases). tRNAs cope with the degeneracy of the genetic code in two manners: having more than one tRNA (with a specific anti-codon) for a particular amino acid; and 'wobble' base-pairing, i.e. permitting non-standard base-pairing at the 3rd anti-codon position. The record is from RNAcentral. Lineage: Eukaryota; Viridiplantae; Streptophyta; Pinopsida; Cupressales; Taxaceae.